RNAcentral lists this transfer RNA (74 nucleotides) under bacterium. Its description in RNAcentral is "tRNA-Asp". It matches the Rfam family "tRNA". From Rfam's summary of the family: Transfer RNA (tRNA) molecules are approximately 80 nucleotides in length. The record is from RNAcentral.
GCGGGCGUAGCUUAGCGGCUUAAAGCGUUGCCCUGUCACGGCAAAGAUCGUGGGUUCAAAUCCCAUCGCCCGCG